This 2170-nucleotide long non-coding RNA is filed under the name Triticum aestivum (bread wheat). RNAcentral describes it as "long non-coding RNA (TAES_LNC022678)". The record is from RNAcentral. Lineage: Eukaryota; Viridiplantae; Streptophyta; Magnoliopsida; Poales; Poaceae.
GAUGGACGGCGGCGCCAAUGGCGAUUCCCCUGUAGAUCUGGUGUUUCAGGUCAGCGGCUAUGGUCUCCCCUUCCUGCACCACCCCUCCCCCUCCCCUCUACCACCCUUGCUUUACUGUGGGCAUCCUGCUGACGGCUCCCCGGCGUAAUUGUCGGCGGCGUCCAUUCUUUUCUCAUUAGGUUCGUUUCCCCCUCCCCUUUCACAGGUAGUUCAUCUUGCCGGAGGGUGUGCCCCUCACGACGAUGCAGAUAGUAAGAGCCAGCACGCCGGCGGAGUCUGCAAUUAAUCCACGAGCUCCCGGGUGGAUUAAGUGGAUAUGUUCUUCUGAUUGAAACCUUGGUCCAGCUUAGAACUAUACAAAUCCCUCCCGUGCCGGCUUGCUCUAUUUAGGUUCUCUAAUUCAUCUCCGGGGAAUGGGAUCGUAGUUGGCAUUGUGAGUUGUUUACCUUUUUAUGAGCUCGUGAGUUGAUGGACCGCGGCGUGGAACCGGACAACGACGGGAGUAUGGACAAUGGUCCAGUGGAGUGUGGGGAGUCAGCAGUGAAGCCGGAUCGAGGUCGCCCUUGUGGUGUUCAUAAGAUUAGUUAGACCAAAGUAGUUAAAUUUAGGUUGCCUCUUGUCUGUUAAAAAAAGAGUAAUACUUCCAUGAGGUAAACAAUGGGUGAAUUAGUCCCUGUAAUCAUGUCGGUAUGAAUUGGUGCUGUAUCAGACAGGAAGGGAAGGGUAUUGUAUCGUUCUCCAUGCCCGGCAGGGUGCGCGAGAUGGAGGGGUGGGGUGUGGUUUGGCCAUUCACGUUUGUCAUCAGCGGCAAGAUCGCCUGUGAAUUGUCUUGGUUUAUGUAUCUUGGAGCGGAACAUCGGUUCGCGUGUGGUAAAACAACCAAAGUUGUUUUGGUCCAGAUUUUGUGUUGGAUCACUGAUUUAUGGAUAUGUUUUUUUUCACACACAGUGCGUGUAGGCGCUAAUCCGAUGGAAUGAACACCCCGUCAUGGUAGGAUGAGGGCCCUCGAAAAAUCCAUAAGAGGCUUUGCGAGACCGGAGAGGGACAGAGAGGAAGUUGUUAAGCCAGAGUUAGGAACUACAUCGACUCGUCGAUAGCCUAGGAAGGUAGGAAAGAUGCAACAGUGUUCCUGGACACCAAAAGAACACCUGCAGUAGACUAGCGAAAAAUACGAUUUGCAUUCAAGUGUGAUGCUUGUAUGAGCUCAUGAUGAGUUGAUGUUGUAAACGUUGUUGCUCUAUAACUGCUUAGUUGUAAUGCAGAGCUUGUUAAUGCGACUUGCUAAUCUUUCUUGGUAGCUAGACUGAUUGACUAGACAUGGUUGUGCACUUGCAUUACUAAUCUACAGGAAACAUAUGAGGUUCAAAAUUUGAAUGAGGGAACAACGCUCGGUCCGCCUAGUCGCUACAAGAGGCCCGAUGAGAAUCUAGUUUAAUCGGAGGAGCAAUGGCACCUUCAAUCAGCUGGGAAAGCUCAGGGGUACUCACGUCAAGGUUGGCUUGGUCCACGCCUGAUGCAAUUAGCAAUGAGGUGUUCUCGCAAAAAAGAACAAUGAGGUAAACAUAUGUCAUUGCUGUUGUGUUGCUUUCAACCUCAUUUGGUCCCUCCAUUUGUGCUGAUCUAAUUCUUCUUGUUGUCAGAUAUACUUAUUGAGUGAGGGUGGUGGCUUGCCAUGAACGGCUUAAGCACGGUCCAGGUGUUUCUCACACAAGGUCCAAGUUUCCUGCCAUGCAGACCGUACAGGACCAACGGGCUUCUACUGCAGUAAAUGUGAAGCAGAUGUGGGCCUAUGCACUAUUCAAUACUGAUUUCAUCCAAGCAAUACAAAGCGAUAUACAGCUAGCGGCUUAGAUCCCUAUGUAGACCAUGGGUUUAGAUAAUGAGAGCAUAUGGUCGUACGAGCCAUAUCGAAUUUCCGCAUACAAAGGUUAAUUAUUAGAGUGGGUACUAAAACAUAUUCUAUUUUAUAAUAUGUUUUAUUGUCAUCUUCAGAUUAUGUGCCUCACUAAGAGAAGGCACCCAAAGAUGAGGGAAGAACACAUCGUCAUAUGUGGUCUAUUUUUAGUUUUCGCUAGCAAAAGAGACAGUGCAUUGUAAUAGGAGAAACAAUACGACAUAUGCCUGUAACCCAAUAAUCAUGAUUCAAGACCCCAAUAGAUCCAUGUCCUUU